Molecule: ribosomal RNA, 397 nt
Filed under: uncultured bacterium
Lineage: Bacteria
Description: partial 16S ribosomal RNA
Rfam family: Bacterial small subunit ribosomal RNA
Source: RNAcentral
AUACGUAGGGGGCGAACGUUGUCCGGAAUGAUUGGGCGUAAAGGGCGCGUAGGCGGCGCGGUAAGUCUGGAGUGAAAGUCCUGCUUUCAAGGUGGGAAUUGCUUUGGAUACUGCCGCGCUUGAGUGCAGGAGAGGCUAUCGGAAUUCCUGGUGUAGCGGUGAAAUGCGUAGAGAUCGGGAGGAACACCAGUGGCGAAGGCGGGUAACUGGACUGCAACUGACGCUGAGGCGCGAAAGUGUGGGGAGCAAACAGGAUUAGAUACCCUGGUAGUCCACACUGUAAACGAUGAAUGCUAGGUGUAAGAGGUAUCGACCCCUUUUGUGCCGGAGUCAACACAAUAAGCAUUCCGCCUGGGGAGUACGGCCGCAAGGUUGAAACUUAAAGGAAUUGACGGGG